This 490-nucleotide ribosomal RNA is filed under the name uncultured bacterium. RNAcentral describes it as "partial 16S ribosomal RNA". It matches the Rfam family "Bacterial small subunit ribosomal RNA", at positions 28 to 507 of the family's 1533-position model. The record is from RNAcentral.
GAUGAACGCUAGCUACAGGCUUAACACAUGCAAGUCGCGGGGCAGCAUGGGGGUUGCUUGCAAUCCCCGAUGGCGACCGGCGCACGGGUGAGUAACGCGUAUCCAACCUGCCCUUCACCACGGGAUAACCCGGUGAAAGUCGGACUAAUACCGUAUGUUGUCCAUUGACGGCAUCCGAUUUGGACGAAAGGUUUGGCGGUGAAGGAUGGGGAUGCGUCCGAUUAGCUGGGCGGCGGGGUGACGGCCCACCGUGGCGACGAUCGGUAGGGGUUCUGAGAGGAAGGUCCCCCACACUGGAACUGAGACACGGUCCAGACUCCUACGGGAGGCAGCAGUGAGGAAUAUUGGUCAAUGGGCGUAAGCCUGAACCAGCCAAGUAGCGUGCAGGAUGACGGCCCUAUGGGCUGUAAACUGCUUUUAUGCGGGGAUAAAGUGGCCCACGUGUGGGUUUUUGCAGGUACCGCAUGAAUAAGGACCGGCUAAUUCCGUG